UACGAAGGGGGGCUAGCGUUGUUCGGAUUUACUGGGCGUAAAGCGCACGUAGGCGGAUUGUUAAGUCGGGGGUGAAAUCCUGGAGCUCAACUCCAGAAUUGCCUUCGAUACUGGCUUUCUAGAGGCUGGAAGAGGUUAGUGGAAUUCCCAGGUGUAGAGGUGAAAUUCGUAGAUAUUCGGAAGAACACCAGUGGCGAAGGCGGCUCACUGGCCCGGUACUGACGCUGAGGUGCGAAAGCGUGGGGAGCAAACAGG
Molecule: ribosomal RNA, 255 nt
Filed under: uncultured bacterium
Lineage: Bacteria
Description: partial 16S ribosomal RNA
Rfam family: Bacterial small subunit ribosomal RNA
Source: RNAcentral